CAUUUAUAUCAUCUUUCCCAAAUUAAAGACAUGGAAACCCUUGUAAUGAGUGUUGAGCUCAAGCAAGCUGUUUUGGCUUAAUUAGUAAUUCUGAAGCUCGUUGGGUUGGAAGCUUAGCGGAGAUAUCAUCACAUUAUCCAUUGGCCAAUUUUAGUACAUAUAGAAAAAUAAUUUUGGUUAUAAUGGCAUGUAUAGGGUACAUUGGCCAAUGUUGGCUUAAUAGCAUUUUGUUGUAAAUAGCCAUUGGAAUGGCUUGAGUUGAACAUAUUUUGAUAUAUAUAUAUAUGUGUGGCUUUAUCA
Molecule: long non-coding RNA, 300 nt
Organism: Gossypium arboreum
Lineage: Eukaryota; Viridiplantae; Streptophyta; Magnoliopsida; Malvales; Malvaceae
Exons: 2
Source: RefSeq, a predicted model, not a curated record